GUGGGGAAUAUUGGACAAUGGGCGAAAGCCUGAUCCAGCCAUGCCGCGUGUGUGAAGAAGGUCUUCGGAUUGUAAAGCACUUUAAGUUGGGAGGAAGGGCAGUAAGUUAAUACCUUGCUGUUUUGACGUUACCGACAGAAUAAGCACCGGCUAACUUCGUGCCAGCAGCCGCGGUAAUACGAAGGGUGCAAGCGUUAAUCGGAAUUACUGGGCGUAAAGCGCGCGUAGGUGGUUUUGUAAGGUGGAGGUGAAAUCCACGGGCUCAACCUGGGAACUGCCUGCAAAACUGCAUGACUAGAGUACGGUAGAGGGUAGUGGAAUUACCUGUGUAGCGGUGAAAUGCGUAGAUAUAGGAAGGAACACCAGUGGCGAAGGCGACUACCUGGACUGAUACUGACACUGAGGUGCGAAAGCGUGGGGAGCAAACAGGAUUAGAAACCCCAGUAGUCC
This 450-nucleotide ribosomal RNA is filed under the name uncultured bacterium. Its description in RNAcentral is "bacterial SSU rRNA". It matches the Rfam family "Bacterial small subunit ribosomal RNA", at positions 354 to 796 of the family's 1533-position model. The record is from RNAcentral.